Molecule: non-coding RNA, 34 nt
Filed under: uncultured eukaryote
Lineage: Eukaryota
Source: RNAcentral
CGGAACGCAGCAGGGCUAGCGGUGUUGGUGGUGC